UCCUACGGGAGGCAGCAGUAGGGAAUCUUCCGCAAUGGACGAAAGUCUGACGGAGCAACGCCGCGUGAACGAUGAAGGCCUUCGGGUCGUAAAGUUCUGUUGUCAGGGAAGAACAAGUACCGGAGUAACUGCCGGUACCUUGACGGUACCUGACCAGAAAGCCACGGCUAACUACGUGCCAGCAGCCGCGGUAAUACGUAGGUGGCAAGCGUUGUCCGGAAUUAUUGGGCGUAAAGCGCGCGCAGGCGGUUCCUUAAGUCUGAUGUGAAAGCCCCCGGCUCAACCGGGGAGGGUCAUUGGAAACUGGGGAACUUGAGUGCAGAAGAGGAGAGCGGAAUUCCACGUGUAGCGGUGAAAUGCGUAGAGAUGUGGAGGAACACCAGUGGCGAAGGCGGCUCUCUGGUCUGUAACUGACGCUGAGGCGCGAAAGCGUGGGGAGCGAACAGGAUUAGAUACCCUGGUAGUCCACGCCGUAAACGAUGAGUGCUAAGUGUUAGAGGGUUUCCGCCUUUUAGUGCUGCAGCAAACGCAUUAA
Molecule: ribosomal RNA, 535 nt
Filed under: bacterium A3S_VP8_B5
Lineage: Bacteria
Description: bacterial SSU rRNA
Rfam family: Bacterial small subunit ribosomal RNA
Source: RNAcentral